CCUACGGGUGGCUGCAGUGGGGAAUAUUGGGCAAUGGGCGCAAGCCUGACCCAGCAACGCCGCGUGAAGGAAGAAUGCUUUCGGGUUGUAACCUUCUUUUGUCAGGUACGAAGCAAGUUACGGUACCUAACGAAUAAGCCACGUCUAACUACGUGCCAGCAGCCGCGGUAAUACGUAGGUGGCAAGCGUUAUCCGGAUUUACUGGGUGUAAAGUGCGUGUAGGCGGGACUGCAAGUCAGAUGUGAAAACCACGGGCUCAACCUGUGGCCUGCAUUUGAAACUGUAGUUCUUGAGUACUGGAGAGGCAGACGGAAUUCCUAGUGUAGCGGUGAAAUGCGUAGAUAUUAGGAGGAACACCAGUGGCGAAGGCGGUCUGCUGGACAGCAACUGACGCUGAGGCGCGAAAGCGUGGGGAGCAAACAGGAUUAGAUACCCUAGUAGUC
This 443-nucleotide ribosomal RNA is filed under the name uncultured bacterium. RNAcentral's name for it is "partial 16S ribosomal RNA". It matches the Rfam family "Bacterial small subunit ribosomal RNA", at positions 338 to 795 of the family's 1533-position model. The record is from RNAcentral.